This 74-nucleotide transfer RNA is filed under the name Laccaria bicolor S238N-H82. Its description in RNAcentral is "tRNA-Trp (CCA) (tRNA-Trp-CCA-2-1)". Lineage: Eukaryota; Fungi; Basidiomycota; Agaricomycetes; Agaricales; Hydnangiaceae. The record is from RNAcentral.
GGCCCCCUAGCUCAGUGGAUUAGAGCGUGAGAUUCCAGUCCUCAAGGUCAUCCGUUCGACUCGGGUGGGGGUCA